Long non-coding RNA from Marmota monax (woodchuck), 4704 nucleotides. RefSeq lists it as uncharacterized. The transcript is spliced from 4 exons. Lineage: Eukaryota; Metazoa; Chordata; Mammalia; Rodentia; Sciuridae. The record is from RefSeq and is a predicted model, not a curated record.
CACCAGACUCUUCCACCAUGAUGUUCUGCCUCACCUUGAGCUCCGAGGGAGGAGCUGGCUGUCUAUGGAUUGAGACCUCUGAAAUUCUCAACUUGGACUUGAUGAAUUGAACACCCCUUCUUCCUGCCUGCCACACAGAAGGCUCUGCUCCUGGAAACAAGAUCUAUAAUAAAACACUGGAACACCCAUAAAUCUCCUUUUAAUGAAUUGGGCCUGCAGGAUGGAAGCAGCAUGGUACAUGUUUGGCAUCGUGAAAUCUGGAGGCUGCUUACCUGAAUAUGCAUCUUGCUGAAUAUGCAUCUUGCUGAAUAUGCAUCUCGACUCUUCUGUCUGUGGCUAUCGACUUUGUGAUAAUGACUCAACCACACUGUAUUCCACUGUUUCCACCUACAAAAUGGGGGAAAAAAGAGUGCUUACCUCAGAGAAUAGUCAUGUGGAUUAAAUGAUACUAUCCAUGGCAGCAGAGUGCCUAGGCCAUUAUCAGAUGGUGGGGCCAUUUUGGCCAAAGGAGACUGGAAUGCUGCAGAGGCCAUGAUAGGAUCUGGAAAUUUCUUUUCUUGUUUGAAUAUGAAGUGGUCCUUGGGACUCCUAGCCCCCUCUGGUUCUAGGACCAUAACCAGAAAAGGCGAGAGGAAUGGAAUUGGGUGAAAACCAGUGCACCCUUUUCCCUCUGCCAUUGAAUUGCAGGCUUCCACUGUCCGGAAGAAUCACAGGCUUUCUUUCAGGCUCCAAAGCGACCCACUAACAAAGCAUGGGGGCUGGGAGAUGUCUUUGAUCUCUGUCUCAUUCAUUCUUCCCAAAAUCACAGACCCAGGACCUCCCGCCAAUUUCUGAUCUUUUGUCCCAAGUCAAUUCAUGAACAGUCAUAAAUUGCUUUGAAGAUGAAAGCACCACAUCAGUGCACCAGGAUACCACUAUUAUUUUAAUAAGUGAAGCCUGCACAUGUCUUUUUGACGUAUGAACUGUUCAAAAUAUUUGUCUUGUUUUUCAGUUCAGCUGCAUGAGAAAAGGACUUGUGUUGUCUCUCGUGUAUACUCCUCCAUAUACCACUCUGCAGAAUGAGCACUGUUUUCAUAAAAAUGUUUGCCUUUUCUCCAACAAAAGAAAUUGAUGUUUCUCUUGGGACUUCAUCUCUUUUAGCCAAAGCUUGAGUAAUUAUUUUUAGAGAUAUGUACUUUUGUACUUUUAAAAUGUCUAAUUUAUUGCAAUGCUUACAAAUGCCAAUAAAAUGUACUAUCAUAUUCAAAAGGCCAACAAAGGUCAAUGCACAUUGAAAAAAUGAGAAGAAAUAUAUAUGUGAACAGAAUAAUGGAUUCAUAAGCAAACAUAAGAAUGGAUUCUACUUGCACAGGAGGAAGAGAAUAGAGAAUUUUAUUCUUUACAUCUACCACUAAUAGCUAUUCUACACUCAUGCCUUUUAAGGAAAUUUCUCCGGGGAACAUAUUUUACCAUGUCAUGGCACAUGACUUUGACCACCUCUCACGAAUGCUUCUGUAAACUUAACCAACAUCUAACAUAUUUUCAUGGACUCAGCUUCAUUGGCAGUCCCCCGUGAGCUGUCAGGGCUGGCCUGCUAUGCUGAUAUCUGGCACUGGGCAGAGAAUAAGGAAGGCUGCUGGAGUGGGUUGAUGAGGAGCCACUGCCAGGCGCUCAGAAAUGCAGUCAGUUCAUAAACUCUGGACCUUGGACUAGCACCUAGGAAUGUCCCUCACAUCUGCCACAGGCUAUACGUUUUGUCACUUGGUCUCCACUGCAAGCCUGACUGUGAUGUUCAUGUUAGCAGCCUGAUUUUGCCUCUUAUCCACCCGUGAAGGGACUCUAUGGUGCAAUCUACUGGGCAAUGCCUCAGAGAACAGAUGACCUCAUAAAGAAGAAUGGACCCAUUCUUUGGGAGGAAGUUGGAGCUUUCUCAGAUAGUCAAAUGCUCAGCUGCAAAAGCCCGAGAACACAGACAUCCAGCCAUGCAUAAUUGAUGACAUAAUAAAAGCUGCUGUGGCUGCAAGAGGAAAUAUGAUAUGACAUAAAUCUCCCUGCCAGGGGGAAAAUGAAGUUGAGAUCCAAAAUUUUAAAAUGAUGACUGCUGGUUAAGGCAUCAUCAGAUAAGGAAUUCCUCCCAUAUUACAAAGCCUCUGAGUGAGAAGGGAGAAGCUGCCUUUUCUAUCCAGGGAAAUUAGACACUGGGGAAAAGGGAAGAAAAUUGCUCUUCUUGGGAUAUUUGGAUGUACUGGAUACAUUGCUGGUGAGUCCUCCUCAUUUAACCCUCCUGGCAAGCUAACUGGUACAGACCUCAUUUACAAAUUGAAGAAUCGUGUUUCAGCCAGCUCAAGCUUCUAUAACCAAGUACCAUGGACUGGGGGCUUAUAAACAACAGAAGUUCAUUCCUUACUGUUUUGGAGUCUGAAAGUCUGAAGUCAGCAUGCAGCGUGGCCGGGUGCUGGUAAAGGCCCUCUUCCUGAUUCAUCGAUGGUGUCUUUUUGUUGUAUCCUCACAUGGUUGAUGUGCUAAGUGGUUUCCCUUGGAUCCUUUUUAUAAGGGUGUUGUUGAUCCCAUUCAUGGGGGAGUCUAUUCUCAUGAUUGAAUUACCUCCCAAAAGUCCCACUUUCAAUCACCACACUGGGGGCUGGGUUUCAAUGUGUGAAUUUGGGGAGGAACACAAUCAUUCAUUCUAUAGCAGAGAGGCUCAGGAAAUUAAGAAAUUUGGAUGUGGGCAUACUAGGAACAUGAAUUGCACAUAUAAAUCACAACUAAAUCUUUUAAAUUCAGGGCCCCAUUUUAACACACAGGGUCAAAAUAAAACAGGAAGGACCAGGGGCCCAAACUGCUGAGACAAGAAGCCUUGGGGUGGUUCUUGUGAAAGUAGGGUGUUGCUCAGAGAAUAGCAGAGCCAGUGUGGGCAGUCUCUCAGCAAUUAGACAGACAGGUGGAGCCCUGGCCUUAGGCAGGAAGAACAGAAUCUAGGAAACUUAUACUUCCUGAGUGAAAUGUAUAACUGUAUCCCCAAAUCUGAAAGUAUCUCUCUGAUAUAGCAGGACUCAUAUUAUGAUGGGCACAGAAGGUCUUAUUAAGCUCUUUUCUCUCCUAUAGUGCCUAAUCAACGCAUUUCACAUAGUAGGUGCUCCAUAAAUAUCUGUGUCUAUAUGAGCCCACUAUAACAACCUCCCUUGCUUUUGCUCUAUUGACAACUGCUCUCCUGCAUUUCAGUGAGAUCAAGAUGUGUCCAAAGUUCCCGCUGUUACAACGAUAAUAUCUAUGGAGACAAUGUCCUUAACAACAUGUCUCUAACUCCCUUCUUUGAGUGUGUUGCCUCUGAGAAGUGUCUCUAAGAUGCUUCCAGCCAAGACCCCCAAAGUCAUUUAGACUAUGAGGGCUGCACAUUCAAAGAGUGCUCAUUCAUUUGCUGCCCUUUCCCUGUCAUAUACCUUGCUUUCUUAGACUGGAUUCACCUUCUAUGAGAUAGAUCACUGGGACUGAAGAAUGAGUUGGACAAGCAAUCCUGGCUGAUUUGACGACUGUUUUGUACAAAUUGAGAGAGGAUACCUCUGCAAGGAUGAAGACAAGAAGCAUUCCUCUAAGUCCAGAGCUUGGGGCCCUUCCAGAUUGUUUUUGAGCCACUCCCUGCAGAUUCCAAAGAGUCUGAGCCCUGCCUGGCCAUGACCAAGGCCUUCCUAGAGUGUCACUUCCUAGAGUAACACCUGCAUAGAUUGUUUAAUCAGUAAUGCCUGACUUCUCUAGGGAUGACAGACAUCAAAGAGCCAAGCAAGAAAGCAAUGAGGGAGAAAGUCUUGGCACCAGUGUGGACAGAGGGUCCACAAAUGGUUUAGAAAAAGAGAAAUCAAUCUGUGGGUUGUAACUCCUGCAGCAUCAUACCAGAGAUCCCAAGGCAUUCAAAAGAGAAGUCUCCAAUUUAAACAAAAUGUUUUUCUUGCCUCUAAACAUGCCCAGGUAUUCAUGUCCAGGUUCAAACCUAAGUAUCUGCUCAUUUUUGAUGUCAGUAACAGCUGGAAAGAACAGCAAGAAAAGGGAGGGUACAGCAGACUCACCAGGAUUUGUGCCUAGGAUCUUUCUCCAUAGAAACCAUGAGAGAGGAAAGGUAAGGAGCCUGAUAGGAGGUGAGAAUGGAGUCUGGGUAAAGAGGAGUUCUGCAGCUACCACUGCUGUGAUAUAAAGUAUUUUCCAUGUAAGUUGUCUUCGUCUGUUUUGUGUUACUAUAACAGAAUACCUGAGGCCAGGUAAUUUAUUUUAAAAAUAGAUAUUUAUUUUUUUACAGUUCUAGAGGCUGGGAAGUUCAAAUUUGAGAGGCCCGAAACUUUUGAGAAUGCCUUCAUGCUGCAUCAUCCUGUAGUGGAAGGAAGAAGGGCAAGAGAGCUCAAGAGAGCAAGAGGAAGCUGAUCUCACUUUUAUAAUAAACUCACUCUGAUAAUAAUAACAUCAAUCCAUUCAUGAAGACAGAAUCUUCAUGAUCUUAUCUCCUCUUGGAACUUCCACUUCUCAACAUUGUUGCAUUGGGAAUUAAGUUACUAAUAUAUAAAUGUUCAAACCAUAGUAAGGGCAUAUACAAUGUGACUAUUUAAUCCUCUAAGAAAGGACAUCAAAGUACUAACAAUUUGGGGCUGGAGAUGUAGCUCAGUGGUAAAGUGCUUGCUUUGUAUGUGUGAGGCUCUGGGCUUGAUUUCCAGCACCACAUAUAAAUAAGCAAAAAAAUAA